Molecule: long non-coding RNA, 1412 nt
Filed under: Helianthus annuus (common sunflower)
Lineage: Eukaryota; Viridiplantae; Streptophyta; Magnoliopsida; Asterales; Asteraceae
Source: RNAcentral
UAACAUCAAUCAAGUAAGUAGUAAGAUGAUGGCUUUUGCUUCCUCCGAUGUUUUCUCAAUUUCAUCACACCUUCUUUCUUACUGAUCUUGUUCUUGUGUGUGUGUGGGUGGGGGUUAAAGAAGAACAUUGAUUGAUGAGGAAGGGAGGAAGAAACAUGGUAAAGUUACAAAACUACCCUUAAUUGAUUAGAUUUAACUGAAAAUUUUAACUUAGUUAGUGCUAAAGGAUGAAAGAUGUAAUGAGUUUUUUCCAAUAAAAGAUUGUGACUGUAAUUAUUAAACUUAAAGAUUAUCCAUUGCAAUCUACUACAAACAUAAAGUGUAAUUUACCCUAAAAAAAGAUAAAAAAACGAGAAUAAGGAGAAACAUUGGACUCCGUUAUCCAAGACCCCCAAAGAGGUUCUUAUGAAUAACCACAAAGUAAUCAUCGUGUUUAUUUAGAACGAUUAGAUGAAACAACCUUAAUCUCUUUAUCUAGAAGCUAACAAAAGAAGGCCAAUAUAAUUCAUUCAAACAAGCUUAAGCUUUUGGGGGGUGUUAGACUCCAUGAAUAUCACAUUCGUUCCAAUUUAUCUCUCUCUACCUUCCCCCAUCUCCCUAAAAACUCUGCCAGUAUGUUAUGUUAGAUCACAACAAGUAGGGGGGCUGUUUAAAAAAAGUGGUCCUGAUUGAAUGAAAUAUCUCAUUAGUCCUCCCAUCACCCUUUUAAUUGUCGGCAAGAAAAGCUGAAUUCAUGCUGCUGCUUCUGAUUCUCAAUGCAAAGAUUAGCUGAAUCCGGUGUGCCACAACAAGAAGUGGAAGCACAUUCUUGCUGCCAUGAAUGCAACAAGUUGGAGACUUGAUGGUGCUGAUUGCAGUCUUUAUAUGGUUUCUCAAGUGCCAAAGCCAUCUCAAGAAGCUAAUGCUAGCUAGCAUUGGCAACGAUGAUUGUCAUGUCGUAUGUAUGGAUGUAUAUAUUUCUUUCUUUCUUUCUUUUAUUUCUAUUCAUGUUUCAAGCAAAGAGUACUUGUGUUGGCCGCACACUUUGUUAUACAUAACUCUUUUGUAGUAUAUGCAGCAGCACACACAAGUUUUACAGCCUUGAUGGGGUACUCUCACCUGAAUUAGUAAACCUUCCUUACCUCCGGUCCAUAGAGAGAUUUUGCUUACAAUUACUUAUUAAGUGGCACAAUACCGCCUGAAUGGGGUUCAACAACGUUACAAGAAAUCUCCCUUCUUGGUAACCGUUGUUUAACUGGCCGGAACUAGGCAAUAUCACCACCCUCAUAAAUAAAACUGGACUUUGAGUUUUCAGGACCUCUUCCAUCCGAGUUAGGGAGAUUAACAAAUUUGAGUAAAUUGAUGGAUGUUGUCUUCAAACAUGUUGACCGGAAAGCUGCCAGCGACCCUCGGUCAACUAGGAAAUCUAAAAG